This 504-nucleotide ribosomal RNA is filed under the name uncultured bacterium. RNAcentral's name for it is "partial 16S ribosomal RNA". It matches the Rfam family "Bacterial small subunit ribosomal RNA", at positions 28 to 523 of the family's 1533-position model. The record is from RNAcentral.
GAUAAACGCUAGCGGCAGGCUUAACACACGCAAGUCGAGGGGCAGCAUAGAUUGUAGCAAUACAAUUGGUGGCGACCGGCGCACGGGUGCGUAACGCGUAUGCAACCUGCCCGUCACCGGGGGAUAAUCCGGAGAAAUCUGGUCUAAUACCCCAUAACAUAUGGACCGGCAUCGGUUCAUGUUGAAAUUUUCGGAGGUGACGGAUGGGCAUGCGUAGCAUUAGCUUAUUGGUGAGGUAACGGCUCACCAAGGCGACGAUGCUUAGGGGGACUGAGAGGUUUUCCCCCCACACUGGUACUGAGACACGGACCAGACUCCUACGGGAGGCAGCAGUGAGGAAUAUUGGUCAAUGGGCGCAAGCCUGAACCAGCCAUGCCGCGUGCAGGAUGACGGCUCUAUGAGUUGUAAACUGCUUUUGUACGAGGGUAAAGUGGGUUACGUGUAACCUUUUGAAAGUAUCGUACGAAUAAGGAUCGGCUAACUCCGUGCCAGCCGCCGCGGUAA